CUUAAGUGGGGAAUAACGCAUCGAAAGAUGUGCUAAUACCGCAUAAUCUCUGAGGAGGAAAGCAGGGGAUCGUAAGACCUUGCGCUUUUGGAGCGGCCGAUGUCUGAUUAGCUAGUUGGUGGGGUAAUGGCCUACCAAAGCUUCGAUCAGUAGCUGGUCUGAGAGGACGGCCAGCCACACUGGGACUGAGACACGGCCCAGACUCCUACGGGAGGCAGCAGUGGGGAAUUUUGGACAAUGGGCGCAAGCCUGAUCCAGCCAUGCCGCGUGAGUGAAGAAGGCCUUCGGGUUGUAAAGCUCUUUCAGCCGGGAAGAAAAGGCUGCGACUAAUAAUCGCAGUUCAUGACGGUACCGGAAGAAGAAGCACCGGCUAACUACGUGCCAGCAGCCGCGGUAAUACGUAGGGUGCGAGCGUUAAUCGGAAUUACUGGGCGUAAAGGGUGCGCAGGCGGUUUUGUAAGUCAGAUGUGAAAUCCCCGGGCUUAACCUGGGAACUGCGUUUGAAACUACAAAGCUAG
This 518-nucleotide ribosomal RNA is filed under the name uncultured bacterium. RNAcentral's name for it is "bacterial SSU rRNA". It matches the Rfam family "Bacterial small subunit ribosomal RNA", at positions 131 to 644 of the family's 1533-position model. The record is from RNAcentral.